GUCCUAGCUGUAAACGAUGGGCACUGGGUAGAGGUGGAUCGAUACCAUCCCUGCCGAAGCAAAUGUGUUAAGUGCCCCGCCUGGGGAGUACGGUCGCAAGGCUAAAACUCAAAGGAAUUGACGGGGCUCACACAAGCGGUGGAGCAUGUGGUUCAAUUCGAAGCAACGCGAAGAACCUUACCCGGGUUUGAAAUCUACGGAUGGGUCCGGCGAAAGUCGGAUACCCUGCCCGCAAGGGUGAAACGUAGACAGGUGUUGCAUGGCUGUCGU
Molecule: ribosomal RNA, 270 nt
Filed under: uncultured bacterium
Lineage: Bacteria
Description: partial 16S ribosomal RNA
Rfam family: Bacterial small subunit ribosomal RNA
Source: RNAcentral